This 678-nucleotide ribosomal RNA is filed under the name uncultured beta proteobacterium. Its description in RNAcentral is "bacterial SSU rRNA". It matches the Rfam family "Bacterial small subunit ribosomal RNA", at positions 82 to 756 of the family's 1533-position model. The record is from RNAcentral. Lineage: Bacteria; Pseudomonadati; Pseudomonadota; Betaproteobacteria.
CGGAUGCUGACGAGUGGCGAACGGGUGAGGAAUACAUCGGAACGUGCCCCGAGAGUGGGGGAUAACGAAGCGAAAGCUUUGCUAAUACCGCAUACGAUCUCAGGAUGAAAGCAGGGGACCGCAAGGCCUUGCGCUCACGGAGCGGCCGAUGGCAGAUUAGGUAGUUGGUGGGAUAAAAGCUUACCAAGCCGACGAUCUGUAGCUGGUCUGAGAGGACGACCAGCCACACUGGGACUGAGACACGGCCCAGACUCCUACGGGAGGCAGCAGUGGGGAAUUUUGGACAAUGGGCGCAAGCCUGAUCCAGCCAUGCCGCGUGCAGGAUGAAGGCCUUCGGGUUGUAAACUGCUUUUGUACGGAACGAAAAGACUCUGGUUAAUACCUGGGGUCCAUGACGGUACCGUAAGAAUAAGCACCGGCUAACUACGUGCCAGCAGCCGCGGUAAUACGUAGGGUGCGAGCGUUAAUCGGAAUUACUGGGCGUAAAGCGUGCGCAGGCGGUUAUGUAAGACAGAUGUGAAAUCCCCGGGCUCAACCUGGGAACUGCAUUUGUGACUGCAUAGCUAGAGUACGGCAGAGGGGGAUGGAAUUCCGCGUGUAGCAGUGAAAUGCGUAGAUAUGCGGAGGACACCGAUGGCGAAGGCAAUCCCCUGGGCCUGUACUGACGCUCAUGCACGA